RNAcentral lists this ribosomal RNA (648 nucleotides) under Pseudomonas putida. Its description in RNAcentral is "bacterial SSU rRNA". It matches the Rfam family "Bacterial small subunit ribosomal RNA", at positions 71 to 715 of the family's 1533-position model. The record is from RNAcentral. Lineage: Bacteria; Pseudomonadati; Pseudomonadota; Gammaproteobacteria; Pseudomonadales; Pseudomonadaceae.
GAGAAGAGCUUGCUCUUCGAUUCAGCGGCGGACGGGUGAGUAAUGCCUAGGAAUCUGCCUGGUAGUGGGGGACAACGUUUCGAAAGGAACGCUAAUACCGCAUACGUCCUACGGGAGAAAGCAGGGGACCUUCGGGCCUUGCGCUAUCAGAUGAGCCUAGGUCGGAUUAGCUAGUUGGUGAGGUAAUGGCUCACCAAGGCGACGAUCCGUAACUGGUCUGAGAGGAUGAUCAGUCACACUGGAACUGAGACACGGUCCAGACUCCUACGGGAGGCAGCAGUGGGGAAUAUUGGACAAUGGGCGAAAGCCUGAUCCAGCCAUGCCGCGUGUGUGAAGAAGGUCUUCGGAUUGUAAAGCACUUUAAGUUGGGAGGAAGGGCAGUAAGAUAAUACCUUGCUGUUUUGACGUUACCGACAGAAUAAGCACCGGCUAACUCUGUGCCAGCAGCCGCGGUAAUACAGAGGGUGCAAGCGUUAAUCGGAAUUACUGGGCGUAAAGCGCGCGUAGGUGGUUUGUUAAGUUGGAUGUGAAAGCCCCGGGCUCAACCUGGGAACUGCAUCCAAAACUGGCAAGCUAGAGUACGGUAGAGGGUGGUGGAAUUUCCUGUGUAGCGGUGAAAUGCGUAGAUAUAGGAAGGAACACCAGUGG